This 454-nucleotide long non-coding RNA is filed under the name Gallus gallus (chicken). Lineage: Eukaryota; Metazoa; Chordata; Aves; Galliformes; Phasianidae. The record is from RNAcentral.
GCGGCCAGGCACGUGGGUCUUUCUGCAGUACAAGUCGGGUGCCAGCAGCUCCAGCGUCAGCUCGGUGAUGAUGGCUGUCAGCCCCCAGAUGCGGUGGGGGCCGUUGAGGAAGACGGGCAGAGUGUAUCCGUAGCGACCGGCAGUACGGAAAUGGGUAUAGCCCUGGUUCUCUUCCCGCAGGAGGUGCUCCAGAGGCAGCGUGAAGACCUCUGCCACCUCGUCAGGGUUUGGGGACAGCGUCAGGUCCUCCAGGGGUCCCAGGUUGGCCACCACGGGGACCACCAGCAUCCCGUGCCUCUCGGGCAGCCCUCGCAGCCGCCCCCAGACGCUCUCCUCCCGCAGCUUCAGCCCCAACUCCUCCCGCGCCUCUCGCAGCGCGGUGCCCUCCGCUCCGCCGUCCGCCGCCUCCCGUUUCCCCCCGGGGAAGCUGCAACGGGGGGGGGCGGCGCUGCGG